This 245-nucleotide ribosomal RNA is filed under the name uncultured bacterium. RNAcentral describes it as "partial 16S ribosomal RNA". It matches the Rfam family "Bacterial small subunit ribosomal RNA", at positions 524 to 769 of the family's 1533-position model. The record is from RNAcentral.
UACAGAGGUCUCAAGCGUUGUCGAGUCUAUUGGGCGUAAAGGGUGCGUAGGUGGCGCCGUAAGUCGGGUGUGAAAUUUCGGAGCUUAACUCCGAGACUGCAUUCGAUACUGCGGUGCUUGAGGACUGGAGAGGAGACUGGAAUUUACGGUGUAGCAGUGAAAUGCGUAGAGAUCGUAAGGAAGACCAGUGGCGAAGGCGGGUCUCUGGACAGUUCCUGACACUGAGGCACGAAGGCCAGGGGAGC